This 784-nucleotide long non-coding RNA is filed under the name Monodelphis domestica (gray short-tailed opossum). RNAcentral's name for it is "lncRNA (ENSMODG00000043976.1)". Lineage: Eukaryota; Metazoa; Chordata; Mammalia; Didelphimorphia; Didelphidae. The record is from RNAcentral.
GGGUUGCCUGUAUUUCACGAUAGCUCAGCGAAAGCAAGUCUUCUUAUGGAUACAAAUUGGGGCAGGUUUUCCCCUCUGCUUCCUGCCCACUUAUGGACAUGUUGUUCGCUUGAAAUCCACUCUGUAGGUGUUCCAAGUCAUCUUUGAUUCCAAUGAAGCGUGGUUUGAAGCCAGGCUACACCCCAAGGACUGUCAGCUGUGAAAUGACAGCAACAGAUGGACUUUGCCAGGAUGAAGCAAUCAAAGGUUUGUGUGAUCUUUUACAUGUCAUCUCCUUUGAACUUCGCAACUACUUUGUGAGUUUCCUCAUCUAUAAAAAUGAAGUUAUUGGACUCAAGGAUAUUACAGCAAGAGAUUCAUUCUCUCAUGGAGACACUAAUAAUUGGAAGCAAUCUUCUUGACAUCUCUGAAGGUCCCCCAUAGUAGUCACACUUCUACCUGCCUUCCAACUGGAGCAGACUGACCUGACUUAAGGGCUCGGGACCCACACACCAUAAAUCCACGAUCACCAGAGGAGAUUACUGUGAGAACAGAGUGUAUUGCCUUAUACACUGUCCCAUACUCCCUCAAAAGUAAGCUUGUUCUUAAUCCUCCUGGUUCUGGUUCUCCCUUGCCUUCUAAUUUUUACUGGGUCUUCAAAGACCUUGAGACAUUCCUUUAUUGUCAAUGUAAUUCAAGGUCCAAAUAUCCCAAGGGCUUUGGGCUCAGUGGAAGUCUCAUUUUUGAGGACUGACUCCAAGAAGGCUAUUGUGAGUCCCCAGUAUGGGUAACAGGGCUCCCAGCU